ACUGGGUGUGGUGGUGUGUGCCUGUUGUCCUAGCUACUUGGGAGGCUGAGACAGGAGGAUCUUCUGAGCCCAGGAGGUCUGGGCUGUAAAGCAGUAUGUCAAUUGGGUGUCCACACUAAGUUCAGCAUCAGUAUGAUGACCUCUUCGAAGCAAGGACCACCAUGUUGCCUAAGGAGGGGUGAACUGGCCCAGGUUGGAAACAGAGUAGGUCAAAACUCCCAUGCUGAUCAGUAGUGGGAUAGAGCCUGUGAAUAGCCGCUACACUCUGGCCUGGGCAAUGAAAAAAAUAUGUAUAU
This 296-nucleotide signal recognition particle RNA is filed under the name Macaca nemestrina (pig-tailed macaque). Its description in RNAcentral is "Metazoan signal recognition particle RNA (ENSMNEG00000021283.1)". It matches the Rfam family "Metazoan signal recognition particle RNA". Rfam says of the family: The signal recognition particle (SRP) is a universally conserved ribonucleoprotein. It is involved in the co-translational targeting of proteins to membranes. The record is from RNAcentral. Lineage: Eukaryota; Metazoa; Chordata; Mammalia; Primates; Cercopithecidae.